RNAcentral lists this long non-coding RNA (434 nucleotides) under Brassica napus (rape). RNAcentral describes it as "long non-coding RNA (BNAP_LNC026169)". The record is from RNAcentral. Lineage: Eukaryota; Viridiplantae; Streptophyta; Magnoliopsida; Brassicales; Brassicaceae.
GUAGAUUUAUGAUGGUUUUAGAUUUAUACGAUGUUUUGUAAAUUUUGACCACCUCACAAUUACAAAAUAAUGUUAUUAUUGCAUAAAUCUAAUUAGACUAUGUAAUCAUGAGAUUUAACAUUUUAUUAUAAAUUUUGGAAUCCUUAUAGUUUUAUUUAGAAUUCAUCAUAAAAUAUUACUUAAGCAAAAUAUCAUGGGUUUAACAAAGAAAAUAACUCAAAAACAAUGGAAAGGACAUAGAGACAUAUUUGUAGAAAGUCGAACUACGUUUCACCUAAAUUAUCGUUUAACAGCAACAAACAUAUUUUCACCAUAUUAAAAUAUAGAAUUUCUCAUAAUAUGAUAAUAAUUUUAAAAUGAUAUUGGACAAAUACCAUAAAUAUAUUUUUUAUAAACUUCUAACGAAAUUAGCAGAAAAAAAUCUCAAAAUAUCA